GACAACUCGCGGGGAUUGUUUUCCACACCGUGGAAGCUUUGUUCUUUUCGUUUUUUGCAAUAAAUCUUGUUGCUGCUCGCUUUUUGGGUCCACAUUGCUUUUAUGAGCUGUACCACUCACCGUGAAGAUCUGCAGCUUCACUUCAGAGCCUAGCGAGACCACAAGCUCACUGAGAGGAACAAACAACUCCAGACGCGCUGUCUUAAGAGCUAUAACACUCACCGCGAAGGUGUGCAGUUUCACUCCUGAGCUAGUGAGACUACGAAGCCACUGGAACGAAGAAACUCCAACCACGUUUGAACAUCAGAAGGGGCAGACUCCAGACGCUUCAUCUUAAGAGCUGUAACACUCACUGUGAAGGUCUGCAGCUUCACUCCUGAGCCAGCGAGACCACGAACCGAUCUGAACAUCAGAAGGGACAGACUCCAGAUGCCCCACCUUAAGAGCUGUAAUACUCACUGCAAGGGUCUGCAGCUUCAUUCUUGAAGUCAGACCAAGAACCCAGCAAUUCCCAACACACAGGGACCAGCUUCUUUCCUAACUCACUUAGGCUCUUCGUGCUGCUCUGGCAACUAACACCCUUGGCUGCAGGGGCUUGGACACUACCCUUAGUCACUGACAAUUGUGUGAAGGCUGCUGUCGUUAACUUCACUUGAUCACCUUAGGCUCCUGUGAAGUGGUGAGCAAUUCAAACAAAUUCCUGUCGUCAAAUCAUAAUCCUGAUUUUGUUUGGAAGGACAGCGUGCCUGGUUCCAGAUGGAGAAAUUGCACUGCAGAGAAAUCUUUAAAAGCAAUUACCUAAUACUGCAGAUUGCUGAACUGUACCCACACCCAAGACUGAGCAUUGGAUCAAUCCAGAAUAUACAUCAGGUGUUCUGCAAUGUCUGCCUAAAACCAUGACUCUGCCUCCUCCAGCUGUUGCUACAUCUCACUAUGGGUUUCCUGUGACAUUUUGAGCAAGUAUGCCUCUGUGACUGGGGUUCUUACACUCCAGAAUGGAUGAGAAGCACCGUAAGUGGCUUUUAAAAUGAAUAUUCCCUGGCCCUUCAGUCGCUCUAUAGGUCAAGAAUCUGAAUUCUCAACCUGUCUAGAAGGUUCUGGUUUUAAUGGUCUGUGGGCUGCACAUUGAGAAACCUGUUCAGCGAGUGCAACAAAGGUUCCACAUGUGAGAAAGGAAGCAUCAGGUCUCUUGAGCCUGUUCUUUAAUCUGUAGGCUGCACCUUCUCUUUAAAUUCUGCUAAUAACACCAUGCGAGAAAACACCCGAGCUUGAAAAGCCCAUGUUCCAACAUAACUGUCCUUCACCACUCUGGAAAAUUAAUGGUUUGUUUCGAUUAUCCCUUUGUUAAACUCCAAAGUCAAAGAGCUCUGAAAGGCAUACGGUUAUUUUAAGUUUCAGGUGAUUUCUGUUGCCAAAUAUUUUAAAAAUUUAAAAUUGCUACGUGACCUCUUAGUAGUACUAUUAGAUUUCCUGACAAUAAAAAUAAGUCUUUUGGUUUCACCAUUUAUAGUUAGUACAGCUAAUAUUAAGUAUAAUUUUAAAAGCCUUUUAUUUUCUCAGAAAGAAAAAAUAAUCAAAAUCUGCUCAGUGUGGUAUUGAAUAAUUAAAAACAAAAGAACAGUAUCUUCACAUUAGUGUUUAAUAUUAAUUGCUUUUUUA
This is a long non-coding RNA of Homo sapiens (human), 1659 nucleotides long. Lineage: Eukaryota; Metazoa; Chordata; Mammalia; Primates; Hominidae. The record is from Ensembl.